UACCUAUUGAUUAUUUAAUAUGGCAAUGUCUGCCCAAUGAAAAAUUAAAUGGCCGCAGUAUCCUAACUGUGCAAAGGUAGCAUAAUAAUUUGUCUAUUAAUUGUAGAAUAGAAUAAACGACUCCACAAAAAAUUUACUGUCUCCUAAAUAUUUAUUAACUUAACAUAAUAGUUAAAAGGCUAUUAUUGUCUAGAGGGACGAUAAGACCCUAAAAACUUUAUUCUUAGAUUUUAUUUUAAGAGUAAUUAAAAAUUAAAAGAAUUUGACUGGGGCGGUAAUUUAUUUAAACAUAAAUUUAAAAAACGUAGUGGACGAAUAUUUUAUAAAUAUUUAACUCUAAAAGAAAUUUAAAAUAAGUUACUUUAGGGAUAACAGCGUUAUUCUUUUUUAGAGUCCCUAUCGACAAAAGAGAUUACGACCUCCAUGUCGAAUUGAAUAUUCUAAAUUAAGUAGCAAUAAUUUUUAGAAAGUCUGUUCGACUUUUAAUAAUUC
RNAcentral lists this ribosomal RNA (492 nucleotides) under Plakarthrium punctatissimum. RNAcentral describes it as "partial 16S ribosomal RNA". It matches the Rfam family "Archaeal large subunit ribosomal RNA", at positions 1915 to 2666 of the family's 2987-position model. Lineage: Eukaryota; Metazoa; Arthropoda; Malacostraca; Isopoda; Plakarthriidae. The record is from RNAcentral.